UUCAUACGGUGACCCGCGAAUGGCUCAUUAAAUCAGCUAUGGUUUAUUGGAUCGUACCCGUUAAAUGGAUAACUGUAACAACUCUAGAGCUAAUACAUGCCUCGAUGCCCAGACCCCGCUGUUGCAGCAGCCUCGCCUGCUGUGCGUGGGGAAUGGGUGCACUUAUUAGAUCAGAAGCCAACCAGUUGUGUCUCGCUGGCGACAGCGGGGUGCGCUGUAGAACUUCUGGUGACUCUGGAUAAUUGUUACAGAUCGCAGUCGGCUCUGAGUCGGCGACGGGUCCUUCAAAUGUCUGCCCUAUCAACUUUCGAUGGUAGGUGACCUGCCUACCAUGGUGAUAACGGGUAACGGGGAAUCAGGGUUCGAUUCCGGAGAGGGAGCCUGAGAAACGGCUACCACUUCCAAGGGAGGCAGCAGGCGCGCAAAUUACCCACUCCCAGCACGGGGAGGUGGUGACGAAAAAUACCGAUGCGGGACUCCUUAAUGAGGCUCCGUAAUCGGAAUGAGUGGAUUCUAAAUCCUUUCACGAGGAUCAAUUGGAGGGCAAGUCUGGUGCCAGCAGCCGCGGUAACUCCAGCUCCAAUAGCGUAUAUUAAAGUUGCUGCAGUUAAAAAGCUCGUAGUUGGAUCUCGGUAGCAUUGUUGUCUGCGGAUAAUUGAGCGGCAGUGUGUGGCUGUUGACAGGCGCGCGCCUCGUCCAUUCUUGCCCACCCGUGGGCUCUAAUGCUCUCGUGGGAGGGCGGCUGGCGCGGUGAGCGUACUGUCGCGGUCAUCGAUUAACGCUGUCGUAUCAAGCCCGUAAGGCUACGGUGUCACCUUUAAGCCAUGUCUGUGGUCUAUCAGUGGCCUCAGGUGUAGGCGGGUGUCGGACGGCGCUCUGCACCAGUGUGGGGCCUAGUCGGCUCGUCUGCAUGCCUUUGGAUGCCCUUAAAAAGGUGUCUGUGGGCGGAUGGCACGUUUACUUUGAACAAAUUUGAGUGCUCAAAUCAGGCCGAUGUUGCCUGAAAAGUUUUGCAUGGAAUAAUGGAAUAGGACUUCGGUUCUAUUUCGUUGGUUUUCGGAUCCGAAGUAAUGAUCAAAAGAGACAGGCGGGGACGUUUGUAUGGCUGCGCUAGAGGUGAAAUUCAUUGACCGUAGCCAGACAAACUAAAGCGAAAGCAUUCGUCAAGCAUGUUUUCAUUGGCCAUGAGCGAAAGUCAGAGGCUCGAAGACGAUCAGAUACCGUCCUAGUUCUGACCAUAAACGAUGCCAACUGACGAUCCGUGGUGGUAGUUCUUUAACCUUCCCCACGGGCAGUCUCCGGGAAACCUUUAAGUCUUUGGGUUCCGGGGGAAGUAUGGUUGCAAAGCUGAAACUUAAAGGAAUUGACGGAAGGGCACCACCAGGAGUGGAGCCUGCGGCUUAAUUUGACUCAACACGGGAAAACUCACCCGGGCCGGACACUAUGAGGAUUGACAGAUUGAAAGCUCUUUCUUGAUUUGGGGGUGGUGGUGCAUGGCCGUUCUUAGUUGGUGGAGCGAUUUGUCUGGUAAUUCCGAUAACGAACGAGACUCCAGCCUGCUAAUUGGUGCGUUUGUCCACUGUACCUGUGCGGGUGGCAUUGGUCCGGAUUGCUGACGGUUGUACCUUCGUUCAGUUUGCCGCCGCCGUCGCCGAUGACAGUUGCUGCGGUGCGCGUAUUAUUGCGUGUGCUUGCUGGCUGGCUGUCAGAUGGUUUGGCUGGUUGGCUUACGGCUGUGGGUGCUGCAAGCCGUCGGUCGGUCAGUCCAGUGUUAGCCUCCGGGUGCGGCGCGAAUGCUUACUUCUUAGAGGGACAAACGGGAGAAGCCGCAUGAAAUAGAGCAAUAACAGGUCUGUGAUGCCCUUAGAUGUCCGGGGCCGCACGCGCGCUACAAUGGCGGUGUCAGCGAGUCAGACCUUCUGACCCGAAAGGGUUGGGUAAACUGGUCAAUCACCGUCAUGACAGGGAUCGGGGCUUGGAAUUGUUCCCCGUGAACGAGGAAUUCCUAGUAAGUGCAAGUCAUAAGCUUGCGCUGAUUACGUCCCUGCCCUUUGUACACACCGCCCGUCGC
This 2071-nucleotide ribosomal RNA is filed under the name Dendrouterina pilherodiae. RNAcentral describes it as "SSU rRNA". It matches the Rfam family "Eukaryotic small subunit ribosomal RNA", at positions 73 to 1679 of the family's 1831-position model. Lineage: Eukaryota; Metazoa; Platyhelminthes; Cestoda; Cyclophyllidea; Gryporhynchidae. The record is from RNAcentral.